GUACCAGGAGAGAGCCUUUGAUUCUGCAGCAGGUAUGACAGUUAGUACCAGGAGAGAGCCUUUGAUUCUGCAGCAGGUAUGACAGUUAGUACCAGGAGAGAGCCUUUGAUUCUGCAGCAGGUAUGACAGUUAGUACCAGGAGAGAGCCUUUGAUUCUGCAGCAGGUAUGACAGUUAGUACCAGGAGAGAGCCUUUGAUUCUGCAGCAGGUAUGACAGUUAGUACCAGGAGAGAGCCUUUGAUUCUGCAGCAGGUAUGACAGUUAGUACCAGGAGAGAGCCUUUGAUUCUGCAACAGGUAUGACAGUUAGUACCAGGAGAGAGCCUUUGAUUCUGCAGCAGGUAUGACAGUUAGUACCAGGAGAGAGCCUUUGAUUCUGCAGCAGGUAUGACAGUUAGUACCAGGAGAGAGCCUUUGAUUCUGCAGCAGGUAUGACAGUUAGUACCAGGAGAGAGCCUUUGAUUCUGCAGCAGGUAUGACAGUUAGUACCAGGAGAGAGCCUUUGAUUCUGCAACAGGUAUGACAGUUAGUACCAGGAGAGAGCCUUUGAUUCUGCAGCAGGUAUGACAGUUAGUACCAGGAGAGAGCCUUUGAUUCUGCAACAGGUAUGACAGUUAGUACCAGGAGAGAGCCUUUGAUUCUGCAACAGGUAUGACAGUUAGUACCAGGAGAGAGCCUUUGAUUCUGCAACAGGUAUGACAGUUAGUACCAGGAGAGAGCCUUUGAUUCUGCAGCAGGUAUGACAGUUAGUACCAGGAGAGAGCCUUUGAUUCUGCAGCAGGUAUGACAGUUAGUACCAGGAGAGAGCCUUUGAUUCUGCAGCAGGUAUGACAGUUAGUACCAGGAGAGAGCCUUUGAUUCUGCAGCAGGUAUGACAGUUAGUACCAGGAGAGAGCCUUUGAUUCUGCAGCAGGUAUGACAGUUAGUACCAGGAGAGAGCCUUUGAUUCUGCAGCAGGUAUGACAGUUAGUACCAGGAGAGAGCCUUUGAUUCUGCAGCAGGUAUGACAGUUAGUACCAGGAGAGAGCCUUUGAUUCUGCAGCAGGUAUGACAGUUAGUACCAGGAGAGAGCCUUUGAUUCUGCAGCAGGUAUGACAGUUAGUACCAGGAGAGAGCCUUUGAUUCUGCAGCAGGUAUGACAGUUAGUACCAGGAGAGAGCCUUUGAUUCUGCAACAGGUAUGACAGUUAGUACCAGGAGAGAGCCUUUGAUUCUGCAGCAGGUAUGACAGUUAGUACCAGGAGAGAGCCUUUGAUUCUGCAACAGGUAUGACAGUUAGUACCAGGAGAGAGCCUUUGAUUCUGCAACAGGUAUGACAGUUAGUACCAGGAGAGAGCCUUUGAUUCUGCAACAGGUAUGACAGUUAGUACCAGGAGAGAGCCUUUGAUUCUGCAGCAGGUAUGACAGUUAGUACCAGGAGAGAGCCUUUGAUUCUGCAGCAGGUAUGACAGUUAGUACCAGGAGAGAGCCUUUGAUUCUGCAGCAGGUAUGACAGUUAGUACCAGGAGAGAGCCUUUGAUUCUGCAGCAGGUAUGACAGUUAGUACCAGGAGAGAGCCUUUGAUUCUGCAGCAGGUAUGACAGUUAGUACCAGGAGAGAGCCUUUGAUUCUGCAGCAGGUAUGACAGUUAGUACCAGGAGAGAGCCUUUGAUUCUGCAGCAGGUAUGACAGUUAGUACCAGGAGAGAGCCUUUGAUUCUGCAGCAGGUAUGACAGUUAGUACCAGGAGAGAGCCUUUGAUUCUGCAGCAGGUAUGACAGUUAGUACCAGGAGAGAGCCUUUGAUUCUGCAGCAGGUAUGACAGUUAGUACCAGGAGAGAGCCUUUGAUUCUGCAGCAGGUAUGACAGUUAGUACCAGGAGAGAGCCUUUGAUUCUGCAGCAGGUAUGACAGUUAGUACCAGGAGAGAGCCUUUGAUUCUGCAGCAGGUAUGACAGUUAGUACCAGGAGAGAGCCUUUGAUUCUGCAGCAGGUAUGACAGUUAGUACCAGGAGAGAGCCUUUGAUUCUGCAGCAGGUAUGACAGUUAGUACCAGGAGAGAGCUACUGGUACUAACUGCUUUCAGCCUUACCAAUGUAUACUGCAAUGUCCCUUGGUGGGAUGAAUAAA
This is a non-coding RNA of Oncorhynchus mykiss (rainbow trout), 2105 nucleotides long. The record is from RefSeq and is a predicted model, not a curated record. Lineage: Eukaryota; Metazoa; Chordata; Actinopteri; Salmoniformes; Salmonidae.